CUGCACAUCCCCAACAUCAAAUCUUUCUCCUUAAACAUCUCACAAGUUCUUUUUUUUAUUUCCUUUUAACCAAUAAAUAUUAUUCUUCUAGUUUUAGUAAAAAUAUCAGUAGUAAAGAUUUGAACCUUUCCUUUCCAACCAUCAAUGUUAAUCAUAUAUCUGCAAGUUUUUACUUAGAUUUUAAAGUCUAAUCUUAAAAAAUUUCACUUUGUUAUUUUGGUCCCAUCAUUGGCAGAUGGAGGAGGAGUGAGCAUUUCCAAGUUUCAACAUAAAGUUUAAAAUUUGCAAGCCGGAAUGUCCUGCAAACAACUGUUAUAGGUUCUGAUUCCAUUUUAAAGUUUAGAUUUAGGUUGAAUUUAACUACAACACUAACUCAUUUUAGAAUGUGUUUGUUCUCCAUUUAUAUACAUUAUUUUUAAGUAUAAGACUGGGAUUUCCAAGAAAGGGUGAAAAAUGAAAAAAGGGUAUGAAAGAGUUUGAGUGAAGUGUGCUUACACAAUCUGAUACAAGUUCCAGAGAAUGGAGUAUCUGUGGUAUUCUUUCGUGGGAUCAAACCAGAGAUAGAUUCUUUGCUCUCUAUCACCCUUGCCUCCGGUGAACACAUUUGUUUGCAGAAUGUAAGGUUGUCCUGUUCUGUUCCCCAAGAACUCAAAGUCUAUCUCAUCAUGCUCCGCGUUUUGGGAAGAUAACUGCACAGUUCCAACCAUAACAAAACAAAGGUCACGUUCACAUACUACACAAUGACUGAAGCAAAUAAAAAUAGAAACUUUUUUUUUUUUCAUUUUGUGCAUACAUAGAAAGCAGUGACUGUGCCAGCAGAAUCUCCAGGAACCAUCUUUAUGUACAUGCUGAAGUGACCAAACAAGUAAGACCCUUUGGACUGGAAGCCAGUACCUGUACAAAGUUGUAUAGAACAUGAGCAAUAAAGGGAUAGUUAACCUUAACUUUGUUACAAGAUCAAAAUCUCGUGUUUACUAGUGACAUGACCAAAAUAAUGUCGUCUUGAACUUUGUCUGGAUACAAAACUUUAAGUAAGUGCUUUUGAGAGUUUUUCUACCAGGAAAAGUUUUAUAUUUCCAGUUAAAAAAACUCUCAAAAGUAUUUCUAGCCUGUAUCCAAACAGAAUGAUAGAAUUUAAGUUUGAACAUAACUCGACUCGUGAGAGUUAGUCUUCACUAUUUUGGUCAUAUACUCAUAUCACUCAUGAAAUUUCUAAAGCCAUCUACAUAGGAAUGAAGAAGUUAUACGCACCAGUGUACUUGUCAAGAUGAAGCUGAAUGUCAGAACCACCAUUGAAAUAUUUGAUGUGAUCAAAGGCCCAUGUGGGCACGUAGUUUCGGCCAAAUUGUACAUCCACUGGCCUGCGUGGGUUGGCACAGAGUGCUGCAGAGGCCAGUGAUGCCAAAAUCACACACACCGUCCACAUAGAAGAAGAAGAACCCAUUUUUUCUGUGUGCCUCAGUUUGUGAAAUCUAGUGGCUAAUGCAGGGUAUUUAUAAGCACUAGACCCUGCCCUAAAACCCUUGUUCCUCUCUCUUUCCCUCUCUACUCUGUAUCCUUUUAAAUAUAAUUUAAAUUUAUGUAAAUACAUGGUGCAUCAUUUGAAAAAAAAAAAUCAAUUUUAUAGUAUAAUGAUUAACAAUAUAUUUAAGAUUUGUUUUUUAUAUCAGGGUGAGAGAGGGGUUAUAUCAGGAUGAGAGAGUUGGGGGAGGACAGAGAAUCCUGCAUUUUGCUUUAGUUAGGAUUUAGUGUUGGAAACAACUAAUAUUGAGACACUAUUACGCGUUUAUUUUAAUUGACUGCUAGCUAAUCUGCCUAAUCAUCAAUCAUUUUCAUAUUAGAGAAUUGUUAUUUAUUUACAAUAAUAAUACAUUUUCGCAUGCAUUUUAGGCUAUUUUUUAGAUCACUUCGAAUAAUUGUUUCCCGACACUUGAUGAUUAUUUACUCCAAUUAUAAUUUUUUUUAUUAUAUUUAACAUAAUUUUUAAUGGGAAAAAUAUUGAGAUAAGAUUUAGAGACAAAAAUGAAUGAUGAGGUUUUUGGUACAGAAAUAAAUGAUCAGUUUUUUUUUUAACCAUAGGGGAUAAUGGUUUACAUGGAAGAGCCAAUUAUUCUUUGUAAGUUAAUUAUGAAUGUCUUAAUACUCAUUGCAUAUCAUAGUGUCAAUUAUUAAUGUCUAAAUACUCAUUGUAAGUUUCUUUUAUUCGCUAUUGCUUUAGAUUUACAUUUACAUUUUUUUUUUCUUCUUAAAAUUGAACACAUGUAGGUUCUUUAGUACCUUCAUUAUUUGAGCUUUCAUUAUUUUACCUUGGAAAAAAAAGUGCUUCCUCUUCUUGCUUAAUUCUACCUUACUGUGUUUAAGAUAGUUUGUAAUUAGCAUCAUAUGUGCUAUAUUUAAAGUCAACAUUUUUUUGUAUGUUUUUUCUUGUGAUUACUUAGUUUCUUCAUAUCUCUAUUUACUAUAUAUCCAUACAAUUUAUACAAAUUGAUGUUAACAACUUGUGUUUGUGUUUUAAUUUUCUUGUUUUGAGAGAAAUUUUCACUAUUCUAAUAAUUUACUAUGUUAGCACAAACACUCAUCAUGUAUUCCGUAUUCCCACUUUACUUUAGAAAUUCAAUAUGUUGAAGUUCUUCCUUUAAUUUAUUUAGAGCCAAAUAAAUAUAAACAACAAUCAUAAUAGGAAAAGUAAAAGAGAGAUAAUAGGAUUAUAAUAUAGGACUAGAAAUUAAGUAAGUUGACUCCUAACAUAUAUAUUCACCAUGAUUGUAAUAUGCACAAUGAUGAUGAUCUAGAAGCAUUUAAAAAACUUAAAUUUUGAUAUAUUUCAAUCCUGACAUUUAAAUUAACCCAUUUAACUGAUGUUAAAUAUAGUGGAGUUAAAAGAUUAAGAUAAUAAUAAAAAAAUCAAAUAGUGAGAACUAAGUGGAAGAGCAAACAUACUAAUUAUAAAUUUAAUAUGUGACAAAAAAAUUCCUCUAAAUUUUAAUGUUCUUUCACAUUAUUAUCUACAAAAAAGUGUAGAAAAUCCUAUUCACAAUUGACCAUCUCUUUUAAGGAUGACAAGUAAUCGAAAAUAAUAACUAAUUCCUAAUCUAGCCUAUACUUUUUCAAAAAGUAGUUUAAAUACUUGUAUCUCUAUAAAAAAAAUAAAAGAGUCCUGAGUAUAUCAUUUAGUGUCUCAAUUUUUUUGAAAACCUAAUAUACAAGUAUACAAUAUCGGAAGUAUUAUUAUUAAAGUUUAAUGUUCAUGCAAAAGUGUAAAACAGUUUUAUAUCGUCAUUCAAUCAUAAAUUAUCAUUUAAAUUACUUUAAGAUAAUUAUUUUAAAAGUCAACAAACUUAUCAUACAUGAUAAAUUGUGAUUGGAUGAUUAUGUAAAACGUUUUACACUCAUACAUAACGUUUAUUUUCUCUUAUUAGUAUGGAAUGAAAUAGAUCAUCAUAAAAAGUUCACCCAUAAACAUAAAUAUUGAAUCUCUCCCUCGUUUGGAUAUUAGUAAACCUAAAACAAAGUUCAUAUAAUGAUCCAAGAUUCACUAUGUUUUAAGAGAGGGUUAUAUAAAUCAUUAGGGGACUAAUUAUAAGAUUGGUUGGAUAAUAAAAGAAAAAUGAAAAGAGAAAAAGAACAUGAAUUCAAUUUUCCUGUUAAUAAACAACUAAUAAUUAAUCAUUAAUAUUUGCUGAUUAAAAAAAUAUUAAGAUGAACUUUAGGUUUAACUUGUCUACAAGUUACACAUCUAUCAUAAAAUCUCUGGACAUUUUAUUUCACAUUGACAAAUAAGUUUUAUUAGAAUAUUGUUAUAUCUCCAAAAUCUCCUCUCUCUCUAAGUCAAGAGUAACAGUUUCUCUUUAAUUGCACCGGUUUUGUCAUUUUAAUUUAUCCAUUUUGAUUCUUUCUUUCAUGAAUCAAUUGAAGUAAACCCAGCGUUUUUAUUAAUCUAAAUGGAUAUUCACUUUAUACUAAAAGGAGCAAAUUAAAAUAACGAGGAAUUAAUUAAUGGACCUCGAGAUCGGAAAUAGAUGCAGCAACUAGCUGUUGUUGUUACCAUUAAGGAAUAGAACAUGCACUGAGUAUAAUUUUAAGAAUUCAAUAUUGGAUUGGUGGUGCCAAGGCUAAGAUUAAGAAUGAGUAAAGUAGAAUUACACAACAUAUAUAAUUUUAUUAUAGAGGCUCUGCUCUGUAUUCAAACCUCACUCCUCAAUUACACAGCUCAAACAAUACAAUGAUAAUAAAUAAUGGUAGGAAUAAAGUAUAUGGUAAAUGAUGAAUCAAUAAUACAAUAAGAAACUUAUGGUAGCAACCAUAAACAUAGUACUACAUGUGAAUUUAAAUGUCACGGUUUCUUCUACAUUCAGGUGGAAGCUGAGGGUAGCGGCUUCUGUCAGUGCAGUAGUUGUAGAUGGUGUAUUUCCUGCGCACCCACCUGAGCCAUCUCCAUUGAGAAGCAUCAAGAUCAUGAUACUGUGCUUGAUCCCACCACCUCUUGCCUUGUGUAGCACAGAACUUUGCAUUCACUGAAGCUUCACACCCAUCAACGUGGAACCCUUUGUAUUCUGCUAUGAAGGGUGCUUUGGACCAAUCUGUUUUCUCCAAACCACCCCUUGUGGCCCAGUCAUCAGCAUUCCACAAGCUGUUGUACACCUUCAUGGGUUGGUCAAAGGGGAACUUCACUCCCAAGCCCUUUAGGUUUUUGAACACCCUUAUUGGGAUGUUAUCCACUAGGAACCUGUGUGCAAACCACAAUUUGAUUUAUUAUGAUGUUAUUUUUUUGGUUGAUAACAAUAAUAAAAUUUAGAUAAGGUGAACCUCAAUAUUCAUCAGGAUCAAAACAGGACUUUAAGCUCAACCAACCUUUACAAAGAUACUUAUAAAUUAUUUAAUAAUAAGAUUCUUAAAAUUGACAAUGAGAUUUCAACUCACGUUCUUGUGGAAUUUGAGUACAACCCUUAUCAACUCUAUCACUUUUGUUAGUUUAUUAUGUUAUUAAGCAUAGUAUAGUACUCAUUGACAAGAUGUGGGGUUUUGAGGGGACUACUUACACAAUUUGAUACAUGUUCCACAGCACAGAGUAUCUGUGGUAUGCUUUUGUGGGAUCAAACCAGAGAAAGAUUCUUUGCUCUCUGUCACCCUUGCCUCCGGUGAACACAUUUGUUUGCAAAAUGUAAGGUUGUCCUGUUCUGUUCCCCAAGAACUCAAAAUCUAUCUCAUCGUGCUCCGCAUUUUGAGAAGAUAACUAUAGGAUUCCAAUCAUAGCAAAUAAACAAGGUUGAAGCAAAAAUUUGAAAACUAGUAUAUAUAAUUUAAUUAGAAUAUUAUUAAUAGUAUAAAGUUUUUAUACUAUUGUCUAAUUAUGAAUUGUCGCCUGUGAUAAAAUUGAUCACUUUUGUAAUAAUUAUUUAAAAAAAUUAUAUUUAGAGUAUGCAAUGUAUUAAAAUAGAAAGAAAUUGUGCAUACAUAA
This 5458-nucleotide long non-coding RNA is filed under the name Glycine max (soybean). Its description in RNAcentral is "long non-coding RNA (GMAX_LNC003622)". The record is from RNAcentral. Lineage: Eukaryota; Viridiplantae; Streptophyta; Magnoliopsida; Fabales; Fabaceae.